This 587-nucleotide ribosomal RNA is filed under the name uncultured bacterium. Its description in RNAcentral is "partial 16S ribosomal RNA". It matches the Rfam family "Bacterial small subunit ribosomal RNA", at positions 355 to 1376 of the family's 1533-position model. The record is from RNAcentral.
UGGGGAAUUUUGGACAAUGGGCGCAAGCCUGAUCCAGCCAUGCCGCGUGCGGGAAGAAGGCCUUCGGGUUGUAAACCGCUUUUGUCAGGAAAGAAAUCUUCUGAGUUAAUACCUCGGGAGGAUGACGGUACCUGAAGAAUAAGCACCGGCUAACUACGUGCCAGCAGCCGCGGUAAUACGUAGGGUGCAAGCGUUAAUCGGAAUUACUGGGCGUAAAGCGUGCGCAGGCGGUUUUGUAAGACAGAGGUGAAAUCCCCGGGCUCAACCUGGGAACUGCCUUUGUGACUGCAAGGCUUGAGUGCGGCAGAGGGGGGAUGGAAUUCCGCGUGUAGCAGUGAAAUGCGUAGAUAUGCGGAGGAACACCGAUGGCGAAGGCAAUCCCCUGGGCCUGCACUGACGCUCAUGCACGAAAGCGUGGGGAGCAAACAGGAUUAGAUACCCUGGUAGUCCACGCCCUAAACGAUGUCAACUGGUUGUUGGGAAGGUUCCUUCUCAGUAACGUAGCUAACGCGUGAAGUUGACCGCCUGGGGAGUACGGCCGCAAGGUUGAAACUUAAAUGAAUUGACGGGGUCAUAGCUGUUUCCUG